This 19-nucleotide small nuclear RNA is filed under the name Arabidopsis thaliana (thale cress). RNAcentral describes it as "snRNA_17229". The record is from RNAcentral. Lineage: Eukaryota; Viridiplantae; Streptophyta; Magnoliopsida; Brassicales; Brassicaceae.
CAGCUCAGAACUGGUACGG